Molecule: ribosomal RNA, 466 nt
Filed under: uncultured bacterium
Lineage: Bacteria
Description: bacterial SSU rRNA
Rfam family: Bacterial small subunit ribosomal RNA
Source: RNAcentral
UAGGGAAUAUUGGACAAUGGGUGAGAGCCUGAUCCAGCCAUGCCGCGUGCAGGAAGAAGGCGUUAUGCGUUGUAAACUGCUUUUGCCAGGGGAUAAAAAGACCGUGCGCGGUUAAUUGAAGGUACCUGGUGAAUAAGCCACGGCUAACUACGUGCCAGCAGCCGCGGUAAUACGUAGGUGGCAAGCGUUGUCCGGAUUUAUUGGGUUUAAAGGGUGCGUAGGUGGCCCUGUAAGUCAGUGGUGAAAUAUCUCAGCUUAACUGAGAGGGUGCCAUUGAUACUGCAGGGCUUGAGUACAGAUGAGGUAGGCGGAAUUGACGGUGUAGCGGUGAAAUGCAUAGAUAUCGUCAAGAACACUGAUAGCGAAGGCAGCUUACCAAGCUGUAACUGACACUGAGGCACGAAAGUGUGGGGAUCAAACAGGAUUAGAUACCCUCGUAGUCCCUGAGCGGGCUGGCAAGGCGCAU